CGCCUCUUGACAAACAAUAAGAGGUCCUGCCUGCCCAGUGACUAAUUCAACGGCCGCGGUAUCCUAACCGUGCAAAGGUAGCAUAAUCACUUGUCCCUUAAAUAGGGGCCCGUAUCAACGGCAUCACGAGGGUUAUACUGUCUCCCGCCUCCAAUCAGUGAAACUGAUCUCCCCGUGAAAAAGCGGGGAUAAGACUAUAAGACGAGAAGACCCCAUGGAGCUUUAAACCCAACAGCAACCCAGCAAAUCCCCCUUUAAGCUAAAACCCUGCUAGCGGCUUUAGGUUGGGGCGACCGCGGAGUAAAAAUCAACCUCCACAACGAAAAGACCAAGUCUUUACCCAAGAGCUACUACUCCAAGAAUUAGUAAACUAACGGACAAUGACCCGAUAUCGAUCAAUGAACCAAGUUACCCUGGGGAUAACAGCGCAAUCUACUUCAAGAGCCCAUAUCGACAAGUAGGCUUACGACCUCGAUGUUGGAUCAGGGUAUCCUAGUGGUGCAGCCGCUACUAAAGGUUCGUUUGUUCAACGAUUA
RNAcentral lists this ribosomal RNA (536 nucleotides) under Raorchestes archeos. Its description in RNAcentral is "partial 16S ribosomal RNA". It matches the Rfam family "Bacterial large subunit ribosomal RNA", at positions 1829 to 2590 of the family's 2925-position model. Lineage: Eukaryota; Metazoa; Chordata; Amphibia; Anura; Rhacophoridae. The record is from RNAcentral.